RNAcentral lists this non-coding RNA (25 nucleotides) under Rattus norvegicus (Norway rat). The record is from RNAcentral. Lineage: Eukaryota; Metazoa; Chordata; Mammalia; Rodentia; Muridae.
UGUGACCUGGUUGCCUGCUAGUUUU